Molecule: ribosomal RNA, 481 nt
Filed under: uncultured bacterium
Lineage: Bacteria
Description: partial 16S ribosomal RNA
Rfam family: Bacterial small subunit ribosomal RNA
Source: RNAcentral
ACGAACGCUGGCGGCGCGCCUAACACAUGCAAGUCGAACGAGUGAGAGGGAGCUUGCUCCCUCAAGCGAGUGGCGAACGGGUGAGUAACGCGUGAGGAACCUGCCUCAAAGAGGGGGACAACAGUUGGAAACGACUGCUAAUACCGCAUAAGCCCACGACCCGGCAUCGGGUUGAGGGAAAAGGAGCAAUCCGCUUUGAGAUGGCCUCGCGUCCGAUUAGCUAGUUGGUGAGGUAACGGCCCACCAAGGCGACGAUCGGUAGCCGGACUGAGAGGUUGAACGGCCACAUUGGGACUGAUACACGGCCCAGACUCCUACGGGAGGCAGCAGUGGGGAAUAUUGCACAAUGGGGGAAACCCUGAUGCAGCGACGCCGCGUGGAGGAAGAAGGUCUUCGGAUUGUAAACUCCUGUUGUUGAGGAAGAUAAUGACGGUACUCAACAAGGAAGUGACGGCUAACUACGUGCCAGCAGCCGCCGUAA